RNAcentral lists this small nuclear RNA (127 nucleotides) under Salvator merianae (Argentine black and white tegu). RNAcentral's name for it is "U1 spliceosomal RNA (ENSSMRG00000020145.1)". It matches the Rfam family "U1 spliceosomal RNA". Rfam says of the family: U1 is a small nuclear RNA (snRNA) component of the spliceosome (involved in pre-mRNA splicing). Its 5' end forms complementary base pairs with the 5' splice junction, thus defining the 5' donor site of an intron. Lineage: Eukaryota; Metazoa; Chordata; Lepidosauria; Squamata; Teiidae. The record is from RNAcentral.
CUAUCUGCUUGGCAGGGAAAAACCAUGACUACAAAGGGAGUUUUUCCAGGGCAAUGCUAUUCAUUGCACUUUGGAUAUGUUAACCCUGGGGUUUUUCCAAAUGUGGGAAACUUAGCUGCAUGGGAGC